RNAcentral lists this long non-coding RNA (210 nucleotides) under Pelobates cultripes (western spadefoot toad). The record is from RNAcentral. Lineage: Eukaryota; Metazoa; Chordata; Amphibia; Anura; Pelobatidae.
GCAACCUGCCGUAUAUCAUUGGCAAAAACACUAAAAACUUCCUUAACCUCUGAAACCUCAUUGCAAGCCAAGUCAUUUGUCCCUAGAUGGACAAGUACAUCCAAUUCCCUUCCUGCUUUGCUUGCUUAACAAUAUUACAGAUACGUCUCCUGUCUCUGUGAGCAGUAGCUCCGGGAAAACACCUCACAAGACCACCAUUGUCCAUCUCCA